CCUACGGGAGGCAGCAGUGAGGAAUAUUAGUCAAUGGGCGGAAGCCUGAACCAGCCAUGCCGCGUGCAGGAAGACGGCUCUAUGAGUUGUAAACUGCUUUUGUACAAGGGUAAACCUGAAUACGUGUAUUCAGCUGAAAGUACUGUACGAAUAAGGAUCGGCUAACUCCGUUCCAGUAGCCGCGGUAAUACGGAGGAUCCAAGCGUUAUCCGGGUUGAUUGGGUUUAAAGGGUGCGUAGGCGGAUUGAUAAGUUAGAGGUGAAAUGUCCGAGCUUAAGUCGGGAACUGCCUCGAAUACUGUUGAUCUAGAGAGUAGAUGCGGUAGGCGGAAUGUAUGGUGUAGCGGUGAAAUGCUCAGAGAUCAUACAGAACACCGAUUGCGAAGGCAGCUUACCAAUCUAUAUCUGACGUUGAGGCACGAAAGCGUGGGGAGCAAACAGGAUUAGAUACCCUUGUAGUC
Molecule: ribosomal RNA, 460 nt
Filed under: uncultured bacterium
Lineage: Bacteria
Description: partial 16S ribosomal RNA
Rfam family: Bacterial small subunit ribosomal RNA
Source: RNAcentral